RNAcentral lists this long non-coding RNA (530 nucleotides) under Apteryx rowi (Okarito brown kiwi). RNAcentral's name for it is "lncRNA (ENSARWG00000007204.1)". Lineage: Eukaryota; Metazoa; Chordata; Aves; Apterygiformes; Apterygidae. The record is from RNAcentral.
CUAUCCUAGAAAUCUUCCAUUGACCUCAGUGGCACCUGUUUGAACCCAGCAAAUGCCCAGCUCUCCUUGCAUGGCAUGGCAGGGAGUCACUAACAUGAAAGAAGGAGGCAGUCCAGACCAGAAAAGCACGUGUUGGGAAAGACAACUGGGAGUUUUGAACAUGACUCUGACUUCUAGGAUAGGCAGCUGCAAUAAUGCGUAGUUUUGGUUUAACAAGAAGCUUCUCAAGCCUUUACCAGCCCCAAAGAAGUCUUACAGUGGAUCACACUUCAGCCUCAACACAGGAGCUUUCUUAAGUUAUGAGGAGAGGAAAGUAUACUCUGGACGAAGGAAAUGGUGAAGGAAGCAUUCAGCGUGGAAUAGCAACAGAUGGUCUCUGUAUCUUCCCCUCCUAUUCAUCCAAAGCUCUCAGGGCUGCAUUCCUAAUCAACCAAAAGCAGGCAUCCCACACCCAUGCCGAGAGGAAUAACCUGAGCAUGCAAACUCUGCUUUGAAAUAAAUGUUAAAGAUACAUGACCUAUAUUGUCUGG